This 301-nucleotide ribosomal RNA is filed under the name uncultured bacterium. Its description in RNAcentral is "partial 16S ribosomal RNA". It matches the Rfam family "Bacterial small subunit ribosomal RNA", at positions 509 to 807 of the family's 1533-position model. The record is from RNAcentral.
CAGUCGCCGCGGGAAUACGAAGGGUGCAAGCGUUAAUCGGAAUUACUGGGCGUAAAGCGUGCGUAGGCGGUGAGUUAAGUCUGCUGUGAAAUCCCCGGGCUCAACCUGGGAAUGGCAGUGGAUACUGGCUCGCUAGAGUGUGUCAGAGGAUGGUGGAAUUCCCGGUGUAGUGGUGAAAUGCGUAGAGAUCGGGAGGAACAUCAGUGGCGAAGGCGGCCAUCUGGGACAACACUGACGCUGAGGCACGAAAGCGUGGGGAGCAAACAGGAUUAGAUACCCCAGUAGUCCCUGUCUCUUAUAC